This 253-nucleotide ribosomal RNA is filed under the name uncultured bacterium. RNAcentral's name for it is "partial 16S ribosomal RNA". It matches the Rfam family "Bacterial small subunit ribosomal RNA", at positions 524 to 776 of the family's 1533-position model. The record is from RNAcentral.
UACGUAGGGUGCAAGCGUUGUCCGGAAUUAUUGGGCGUAAAGAGCGUGUAGGCGGCCCGAUUAGUCCGCUGUGAAAGUCCAGGGCUCAACCCUGGAAUGCCGGUGGAUACUGUCGGGCUAGAGUCCGGAAGGGGCGAGUGGAAUUCCUGGUGUAGCGGUGAAAUGCGCAGAUAUCAGGAGGAACACCAAUGGCGAAGGCAGCUCGCUGGGACGUGACUGACGCUGAGACGCGAAGGCCAGGGGAGCAAACGGG